UACGUAGGGUGCGAGCGUUGUCCGGAUUUAUUGGGCGUAAAGAGCGUGUAGGCGGCUUGGAAGGUCAGCUGUGAAAACUCGAGGCUCAACCUCGAGGCGUCGGUUGAGACCACCUGGCUAGAGUCCGGAAGAGGAGAGUGGAAUUCCCGGUGUAGCGGUGAAAUGCGCAGAUAUCUGGAGGAACACCGGUGGCGAAGGCGGCAUCCUGGACCAACACUGACGCUGAGUGAGCGAAAGCCAGGGGAGCAAACGGG
This 254-nucleotide ribosomal RNA is filed under the name uncultured bacterium. RNAcentral describes it as "partial 16S ribosomal RNA". It matches the Rfam family "Bacterial small subunit ribosomal RNA", at positions 524 to 776 of the family's 1533-position model. The record is from RNAcentral.